AACGAACGACAGGGGAGCGCCGCCACCUCAGGGUGUGUGGGCGCUGAGAGUGCGGAGCAACCGCAGACCCUCGAACCUGAUCCGGUUAGUACCGGCGAUAGGGAGUCGAGCAUCUCAGAAC
Molecule: non-coding RNA, 121 nt
Filed under: Arthrobacter woluwensis
Lineage: Bacteria; Bacillati; Actinomycetota; Actinomycetes; Micrococcales; Micrococcaceae
Description: TPP sequence
Rfam family: TPP riboswitch aptamer (THI element)
About the family: Vitamin B(1) in its active form thiamin pyrophosphate (TPP) is an essential coenzyme that is synthesised by coupling of pyrimidine and thiazole moieties in bacteria. The previously detected thiamin-regulatory element, thi box was extended, resulting in a new, highly conserved RNA secondary structure, the THI element, which is widely distributed in eubacteria and also occurs in some archaea. Analysis of operon structures identified a large number of new candidate thiamin-regulated genes, mostly transporters, in various prokaryotic organisms.
Source: Rfam by way of RNAcentral